This 301-nucleotide ribosomal RNA is filed under the name uncultured bacterium. RNAcentral describes it as "partial 16S ribosomal RNA". It matches the Rfam family "Bacterial small subunit ribosomal RNA", at positions 509 to 807 of the family's 1533-position model. The record is from RNAcentral.
CAGUAGCCGCGGUAAUACGUAGGGUGCAAGCGUUAAUCGGAAUUACUGGGCGUAAAGCGUGCGCAGGCGGUUAUAUAAGUUAGAUGUGAAAUCCCAGGGCUCAACCUGGGACCUGCAUUUGUGACUGUAUAGCUAGAGUACGGUAGAGGGGGAUGGAAUUCCGCAUGUAGCAGUGAAAUGCGUAGAUAUGCGGAGGAACACCGAUGGCGAAGGCAAUCCCCUGGACCUGUACUGACGCUCAUGCACGAAAGCGUGGGGAGCAAACAGGAUUAGAUACCCCUGUAGUCCCUGUCUCUUAUAC